This 581-nucleotide long non-coding RNA is filed under the name Homo sapiens (human). RNAcentral's name for it is "non-protein coding lnc-ACSL6-2:1". The record is from RNAcentral. Lineage: Eukaryota; Metazoa; Chordata; Mammalia; Primates; Hominidae.
GAUUUGUCAGAGCCUAGGUGAACACUUGCCACUCCCUCCCCUCACUGGUUUGCAGAGGUGGCACCCGGAGGCUCCCCAUGUCUGCAAACUCGGGUCCUAGGGGGCGUUGGUGUCAGCGGGCAACAGCCCACAGGAGUGUGCACCUCCUAGGACAGAGUUUGUCCUCUCACUUCUGGAGAAGAUGCAGACACAGGAGAUCCUGAGGAUACUGCGACUGCCUGAGCUAGGUGACUUGGGACAGUUUUUCCGCAGCCUCUCGGCCACCACCCUCGUGAGUAUGGGUGCCCUGGCUGCCAUCCUUGCCUACUGGUUCACUCACCGGCCAAAGGCCUUGCAGCCGCCAUGCAACCUCCUGAUGCAGUCAGAAGAAGUAGAGUUCUCUUCCCCUGAUGCAACCUGCUAAUGCUCUGUCCUGGCCGUGAGCAGAUGUGUAGAGAUACUCACCACGCUUUCACUCAUAUCCACCACAUACCCUGUUGUGCACCUUGCCUUUUGCUCUUGACAGUGCACCUUGGCGAUCAUAAGCAUGUUUUGCCUUGUAGGGGAGGGUGCAGGUUGAGGUAGGGGCUGGGAUCUUCAGG